This is a long non-coding RNA of Microtus ochrogaster (prairie vole), 716 nucleotides long. RefSeq lists it as uncharacterized. The record is from RefSeq and is a predicted model, not a curated record. Lineage: Eukaryota; Metazoa; Chordata; Mammalia; Rodentia; Cricetidae. The transcript has 5 exons.
GCACGUAUAGAUUCCGUUAUUAGUGCAGUCUCGAAUGGAGGAAGGAGCUUACGAGAAACAGCGCCCGAGAGAGGCACUCAUGAGCUGAAAAACGGAAAAGAUGAUAACCACGCUGGGCGAGCUCGGCCGCCAUCAUGCUCUAGUUUCCCCUUCGUCUCUCUGGGUCGGCGACCGAGGAAGCGGCCUCUGGGAUGCUGAGGGGGUGUGUCCCCUCAUGAUUGGCGCAGGCCUCUCAGCCAACCCCAGCUCGGCAAACGGGAAGCACUUAGCCAAUGAGGGGAGGCGGCAGCGGCGAGGACUUAAGAGAGGCGGAACAGCAGUUUGACUGGCACGAAAGUUAGCCAGUGAACUGCAGAGGCAUCCUGCCUGCGGCCAAUGAGCCUCCCUGCGACAUCGCCUCCACAGCUUGCGGAGAAGCGGAGACCGCGGUCACCGCUGGGCUUCACAGCGGAACGACGACACUCGGAGCCGGCGCGGCUCAGCGGGUUUUGGCUCUUUGCACUGAAUGUAACCUAGACUGAUCGUCUCAGGCUUGUGUUGCCCCAGGAUACUGUCUAAGGCAGUGUCUGUGUUUCUGCAAAGUUUUGCACAGAGUCUGUUCCCAUGCAAACCAAUGAGGGAGAAGUAGAGGAAGAAAGCAGUUCCAAGGUGGAACAGGAGGAUUUUGUAAUGGAAGGACAUGGCAAGACUCCACCUCCUGGAGAAGAAAACAAACA